UACGAAGGUGGCAAGCGUUGUUCGGAUUUACUGGGCGUACAGGGAGCGUAGGCGGUUGGAUAAGCCCUCCGUGAAAUCUCCAGGCUUAACCUGGAAAGUGCAGAGGGGACUGUUCAGCUAGAGGAUGGGAGAGGAGCGCGGAAUUCCCGGUGUAGCGGUGAAAUGCGUAGAGAUCGGGAGGAAGGCCGGUGGCGAAAGCGACUUCCUGGACCAAUACUGACGCUCAGGUGCGAAAGCGUGGGGAGCAAACAGG
This 253-nucleotide ribosomal RNA is filed under the name uncultured bacterium. RNAcentral describes it as "partial 16S ribosomal RNA". It matches the Rfam family "Bacterial small subunit ribosomal RNA", at positions 524 to 776 of the family's 1533-position model. The record is from RNAcentral.